AAUGUAUCAUAAACUGUCAGAAGAUCCAGAGAGAAAGAGUGAGAAUGAAUUUCUGCUGUUGAAAUUCAAUAGAAAUAAAACUUAACUUUCUUCUUUGGGUGAUUGUCCACAUGUUUUCUACUCUUGGUGCACAUGCGUCCCAAAUGCACGAGAUAAGAUUUUGUCCGUUCGGGCCAUACUUUCUUGUUAUUACCUGUAACACCAAGAUGGAGCUUUGACAGUGUCUACCUGCUUUUCUGUGAUUGCUAGUGAUGAUUUAGUAUAGUUGUUGGGAAGGUAGUUAACUUUUAGUUUGCUCAUUGAUUGAAAAACUUGCAUCAUUAUUGCUCUGUUUUUCUUUUCUUUUCUUUUUGUUUUUAAGAUACUAGGAACAUUUGAAGGCUCUCUACUCAUUUUCCCCACCUUUUGGCAACUGCCUUUCUUUUUUUCAGGAAGCCUGGACUGGGAUCACCAUGGACCAGUGGGUCCAAGAGAUUGUCGGCAACAGCUUGAAGGAGUGUGUCUCACUGUUCCACCAACCACACUUGUGCCUUUUGGACCUCUCGUGGGAGCUCUGUAGCAACUGUCAACAUGUAUGGAUUCUUUUCUAAAGCAACAUCCAAAACUGCAACAACUUUUCAACUAAGGUAUGCAGUUUUAUUACCGAAGGCUGUCUGUGACUACUGCCUUUCCACUAUGCCUACUAUGUGAUACACAAGCACCUGGAGAUGACAGACUUAGUAUUAGGAUCUGUGUUUCUGUAGCUUGGAGACCUGCUUGCAAAGAAUCCAUAGUUUGCUUCCCCUUUGUAUAUUUGUGUGGAUCAUUGUAACUGAAUACAUUUAAUUCACAGCUGUAACAGAAGUGCUUUAGCUAGUGCAUCUGCUUUCAGUAAUACAACCUGAAUUAGAACUGUUUAUUCUUAAACUCAUUUUGAAAACUCUGGGAUCCUCUCUAACAUAAUUCAUAAUAGUUGAGUGUAAAUCUACAAAUAUCUUCAUAUUCCGUGUGUAUAUUCUUAUUAGUCUAAACCAACUGUUUUGACACUGAUACAUGCACCAGUACUUCGUUUCUUUGAUCCUAUGGGCUGUCUCCUUUGCCUUUUAAUGAAACUUUUUGGUAGGCUGUUAUAUACCACUACUGUGCAUCUCUUAUUCAACUGUUUGAGUUCUUACUAAACAAUGGAACUUAAGUUGGGGAUUGAGCAGCAUCAGAGAUCACUGAGAGUUAGAACAUGCAUAGUUGCAUCGGAGGCAAUGGUUACGGCCAAGUAUAGCAAACCAAAAUUUUAUUCUAAAAGACCAGCAUAUUUGUUUAAACCAGAAGCCCACAGCCUUCUUAAAGUGUUUGCUAUAUUGGUAUCUAACUUGGUACUCUCACUGCCUCAAAGUAGACCUAGACAUAGAUAAAUCCUGGAGCUUUGUGUCUUGCAGCAUCUGUGCAGUUGUCAGCACUUUCUGAUGUCUUACAUUCUACUCAUAAAUGAGUAUUAGUAAACCACAUAUUAUUAUUUUUGGUUAAAUCAACUGUCUGUUUAUGAUGUAGACUGCAGCUUGAUGUCCCUUAGAGAACUUCUCAGACCUUUUAAUAGGGUGGACUACAUCUUAAUAUAGUGUAACAUGGGUACACCCCCCUUCCCAAUUACAGUCAAUUAACAUUCCUGUUUAAAGUGCAAUAAUUACUUAUCUGGAAAAGUGGUAAUAUUUCUUUUAAUUUCCAGUUGCUAAAAUGUACAAGAUGGAGAGCAUCACCAUGUGACCAAUAAUAAGAAUUGGUUGUCUAGAGCUUGUAUUAUACUGUACAUCAUAAUGUAUCUCUGUCUUGUCAGUAAAACUGCUACUUUCUUUCCUUGAUUGUUUAUAUCCAUUCAUACCCUUGGAUAUGGUUCCUUCCAGCCACCAGAUGAUGUCCAGUGUCAUGACAUUAUCCAGCCCCUACACAGUAAGCUUAUAGACCUCAGUUGUUUCCAACAGGUGUAGAACUAGCAUUCUUUAGCUACCUAACUAAAUAGCUUGAACAAAGAAGGUGGCGGAGGAGUAAAUUUCAGAAAAUUCGGAAGAUUAAUGAUCCUACAUUAGUGUGCAGCUUUUCCUGCUAUGCUAAGUGAAAACUGGCUUGCAGUAGCUGAUAUUAUCUAUUACAGCAGGAGUGGCCAGCCUGAGCCUGAGAAGCAGCCAGAAUUUACCAAUG
Dermochelys coriacea (leatherback sea turtle) is the source of this 2169-nucleotide long non-coding RNA. RefSeq lists it as uncharacterized. NCBI's taxonomy places the organism in Eukaryota, Metazoa, Chordata, Testudines, Dermochelyidae. The record is from RefSeq and is a predicted model, not a curated record. The transcript is spliced from 3 exons.